This is a non-coding RNA of Parasteatoda tepidariorum (common house spider), 229 nucleotides long. Lineage: Eukaryota; Metazoa; Arthropoda; Arachnida; Araneae; Theridiidae. The record is from RefSeq and is a predicted model, not a curated record.
CAGGAUCUACUUCUACUUUGAAAGUUUCAACAGAACAACCUUUGAGAUCGUCAACAAGUCCUACUUCUACCUUGAAAGUUUCAACAGAACAAUUUUUGAAAUCUUCAACAUCAAUUCCUACUUCUACUUUGAAAGUUUCAACAGAACAGCCUUUGAAAUCUUCAUCAUCAAGUCCUACUUCUACCUUGAAAGUUUCAACGGGACAGCCUUUGAAAUCUUCAACAGCAAG